GACGAACGCUGGCGGCGUGCUUAACACAUGCAAGUCGAACGGUGAAGGGACCGGUUUUUGCUGGUUCUGGAUGAGUGGCGAACGGGUGAGUAACACGUGAGUAACCUGCCCCCUUCUUCUGGAUAACCGCAUGAAAGUGUGGCUAAUACGGGAUAUUCUGCGCCUGCUGCAUGGUGGGUGUGGGAACGAUAUUGUUUCGGUGGGGGAUGGGCUCGCGGCCUAUCAGCUUGUUGGUGGGGUGAUGGCGUACGAAGGCGGUGACGGGUAGCCGGCCUGAGAGGGUGGACGGUCACACUGGGACUGAGACACGGCUCAGACUCAUACGGGAGGCAGCAGUGGGGAAUAUUGCACAAUGGGCGCAAGCCUGAUGCAGCGACGCCGCGUGAGGGAUGGAGGCCUGCGGGUUGUAAACCUCUUUCGCCAGUGAAGCAGGCCUGUCCCUGUUGUGGGUGGGUUGACGGUAGCUGGAAAAGAAGCGCCGGCUAACUACGUG
RNAcentral lists this ribosomal RNA (493 nucleotides) under uncultured bacterium. RNAcentral's name for it is "partial 16S ribosomal RNA". It matches the Rfam family "Bacterial small subunit ribosomal RNA", at positions 28 to 507 of the family's 1533-position model. The record is from RNAcentral.